AUUGAACGCUGGCGGCAGGCCUAACACAUGCAAGUCGAACGGUAACAGGAAGCAGCUUGCUGCUUCGCUGACGAGUGGCGGACGGGUGAGUAAUGUCUGGGAAGCUGCCUGAUGGAGGGGGAUAACUACUGGAAACGGUAGCUAAUACCGCAUAAUGUCGCAAGCCCAAAGAGGGGGACCUUCGGGCCUCUUGCCAUCGGAUGUGCCCAGAUGGGAUUAGCUUGUUGGUGGGGUAACGGCUCACCAAGGCGACGAUCCCUAGCUGGUCUGAGAGGAUGACCAGCCACACUGGAACUGAGACACGGUCCAGACUCCUACGGGAGGCAGCAGUGGGGAAUAUUGCACAAUGGGCGCAAGCCUGAUGCAGCCAUGCCGCGUGUAUGAAGAAGGCCUUCGGGUUGCAAAGUACUUUCAGCGGGGAGGAAGGGAGUAAAGUUAAUACCUUUGCUCAUUGACGUUACCCGCAGAAGAAGCACCGGCUAACUCCGUG
RNAcentral lists this ribosomal RNA (490 nucleotides) under uncultured bacterium. RNAcentral describes it as "partial 16S ribosomal RNA". It matches the Rfam family "Bacterial small subunit ribosomal RNA", at positions 30 to 507 of the family's 1533-position model. The record is from RNAcentral.